GAUGAAAGCUCCGGCGGAGAGGGAUGGGGAUGCGUUCCAUUAGGUAGUAGGCGGGGUAAUAGCCCACCUAGCCGACGAUGGAUAGGGGUUCUGAGAGGAAGGUCCCCCACAUUGGAACUGAGACACGGUCCAAACUCCUACGGGAGGCAGCAGUGAGGAAUAUUGGUCAAUGGACGGAAGUCUGAACCAGCCAAGUCGCGUGAAGGAUGAAGGUUCUAUGGAUUGUAAACUUCUUUAUACGGGAAUAAAACCUCCCACGUGUGGGAGCUUGUAUGUACCGUAUGAAUAAGCAUCGGCUAACUCCGUG
This 307-nucleotide ribosomal RNA is filed under the name uncultured bacterium. RNAcentral's name for it is "bacterial SSU rRNA". It matches the Rfam family "Bacterial small subunit ribosomal RNA", at positions 199 to 507 of the family's 1533-position model. The record is from RNAcentral.